CCUACGGGUGGCAGCAGUGGGGAAUAUUGCGCAAUGGGCGAAAGCCUGACGCAGCGACGCCGCGUGGGGGAGGAAGGCCCCAGGGUUGUAAACCCCUGUCAGGUGGGACGAACCUCGUAGUGACGAACAGCCACUACGACUGACGGUACCACCAGAGGAAGCUCCGGCUAACUCCGUGCCAGCAGCCGCGGUAAUACGGAGGGAGCAAGCGUUGUUCGGAAUUACUGGGCGUAAAGGGCGCGUAGGCGGCCUUGUAAGUCGCAUGUGAAAUGCCGGGGCUCAACCCCGUGCACUGCACGCGAUACUGCAUGGCUAGAGAGAGGUAGGGGCGAGCGGAAUUCCCGGUGUAGCGGUGGAAUGCGUAGAUAUCGGGAAGAACACCUGUGGCGAAGGCGGCUCGCUGGACCUCUUCUGACGCUGAAGCGCGAAAGCGUGGGGA
This 439-nucleotide ribosomal RNA is filed under the name uncultured bacterium. RNAcentral's name for it is "bacterial SSU rRNA". It matches the Rfam family "Bacterial small subunit ribosomal RNA", at positions 338 to 767 of the family's 1533-position model. The record is from RNAcentral.